UACAGAGGUCUCAAGCGUUGUUCGGAUUCAUUGGGCGUAAAGGGUGCGUAGGCGGCGCGGUAAGUCGGGUGUGAAAUUUCGAGGCUUAACUUCGAAACUGCAUUCGAUACUGCCGUGCUUGAGGACUGGAGAGGAGACUGGAAUUUACGGUGUAGCGGUGAAAUGCGUAGAUAUCGUAAGGAAGACCAGUGGCGAAGGCGGGUCUUUGGACAGUUCCUGACGCUGAGGCACGAAGGCCAGGGGAGCAAACGGG
RNAcentral lists this ribosomal RNA (253 nucleotides) under uncultured bacterium. RNAcentral's name for it is "partial 16S ribosomal RNA". It matches the Rfam family "Bacterial small subunit ribosomal RNA", at positions 524 to 776 of the family's 1533-position model. The record is from RNAcentral.